RNAcentral lists this long non-coding RNA (208 nucleotides) under Elaeis guineensis (African oil palm). Its description in RNAcentral is "long non-coding RNA (EGUI_LNC018462)". The record is from RNAcentral. Lineage: Eukaryota; Viridiplantae; Streptophyta; Magnoliopsida; Arecales; Arecaceae.
CCUGGCGGUUAUAAUUUUCUCAUUUGGUCUUCCUACAAUUGUGAGGAGGACUGUGCAUAUUUAAUAGCCAAUUUGCCAAUCGGACCGAUAUGUCGAAUUGAGACAAUACUUCUCGUACAUUAGGUCGGCCGUAGCCGACUCUUACACACUUUAGUCAAAAUCGAGGAUCAAGUCGGCCGAGGCUGGGUGAAGGCCCACAACAAUCUCC